CUCUCUAUCGGCAGCCUCCCGGCCGCGCCCGCAGCCACGGCAGGCAGCCAUUUUACUGCGGGCGCGACCUGCCUCCGUGCGCGCAGCGCGAAACCAAACGCGGUGCGCCCGAGUUCAGGCCUGACAACUGCUUUAGAAACAGAAAGUAACGACGAAGCUUUAUUGAAGCUGUUCCCGCGGGCUGCUUUAGAUAGGACAGAAAGCAGGGAAGCUCCCGGACCGUGGCUCCAGGCUCGUCCCUGGCCCCACGCACUGAAGCUCUUUCCGCGUGUUUAUUUCGCCAGCAAGGGGCCAAGAAGCGGCGCAGCUCUCAGUCCACGGCGCCGCGCCUGCCCCCCAUGCGCUGCACCGACCCCAUGCCACCGCACCGACGGACGCGAUGGGAAGCGCCCAGCAGCCGUUAACCGACAGCCCCCAACCGUGCCCCACCGCUUCCCCACCACCGGCGGCCGUAGCCAAUCAGCGGCAGAGGCUGCCGCCUCCUCCCCCGUGCGCCCGCCCCCUGCCCGUUUCACCGAGGAGCUGUUGAGGCCGCGCUCUGCGCUCUAGCCGCCGCCGCUCCGCUAUGUGGGUGCUGGCCGUGGGCGUGCUGCUCAGCGCUGCGGGCACAGGUUCUGCCCAGUUGAUCCUUACUGCGACAGAUGUGGAAAUAACUGACUGUAACAAAACUGUUGUUUUACCUUGCUAUGUAACUAACCUCUUGGAGAAAAAUGAAAAGGCCAUGUUUGUUAUGUGGAGAAGACAAGGACAAGUAAUUUUUAGUUUCGAUGGAGCAAGCCAAGAGGUUUUCAGAGAUCCAUCAGCUCCAUCUGCGAACUUGGUCUCGCAGGCGGAUUUACCUAAGGGCAUUGCCUCCCUCGUGCUUAACAGUGCAGAAGCAGAAGCUGGAAAUUACACUUGUCAAGUAACAGAGUCAAGCAGAGAAGGACAAGUAAAAGUGGAACUUAGAAACCAUUCAGUUGUCAGUUGCGACGAGGAAAGUGUCCCACCAUCAAAGGAGAUCUGUGUUGUCAGUUGCGACGAGGAAAGUGUCCCACCAUCAAAGGAGAUCUGUGGGUCAUGGUUUCUUCUAGUGGAAAGGGCUAUCAUCAUAGUGUUGCUGUUCUUAGUCAUUGUUUUGUGUUCGGCUCAGUUAAGUGUUGUUGCAUUUAAAUGUGAAAUUACACCUCAGAAGAGAGUGAGCAUUGCUGUAGCAGGUUUCAUCUUCACAGUUGCUGCUGUUAUAGGCACUGUUCUUUUUGUCCAAGAUGGCUUCACUGCACAGAAUCAGGCUGGGCUUGGCCUCAUUGUAAUCCCUGCUGUGAGCAUGGUACCACUCCAGUACUUUAUUUUUAGAAUUGUUUUUGAUAGUCUACCACAAGCAACGUUUGCUCUGAUAGGUUUGCACAUUCUCGGUUAUGUAAUUGCUGUGGUUGGUUUUGCACUGUGUGUCUCAGCCUGUCCUCCUUCACAUGGCUCUAUUUUGAUUGCUGGCUUAGCUAUUAUGGCUAUCACAAAUUUGCUGAGCCUGGCUUACGUGUUUAUUAUGGGUUCCAGAAUGAAAGAUCAUCCUCGUCCAGGGAAUCACUACUUACUGUAUAUGUCAAUUAGAGUAAUUUAACUGUGGCGAGCCAAAAGUAAACAUGAAGGCUUUUUAUACAUAUAUAUAUAUUUUUAAAUGUUUUGCAGAAAGCUGUAGAAGAACCACUAAAUGGUAGGUGAUAUUCAAGGCUUAUCUUCUAAUUAAGGCAUUAAUUAUACAGACAAGGUUAACAAAAAUAAUUGUAGCUCUCAAUAAAACAGCAGUGAGAUGCUGACUGACCCAGCUCAGAUGAUAUUGUGCCUGCAGCUCCAGACUCUCUGCUCUGUGCUUGCUAACCCAUGGCAUUAUUUGAAGGUUGGACUUGGUGAUCUUAGAGGUCCUUUCCAACCUUAAUGAUGCUGUGACUAUCUUAGGACAAGUCGAAUCUCAGGAUAUUCUGUCCACUCUCUCUGUUUUGCCCUAAACGCAGCUUUUGAAUGUUGAACUUGAUGAUCUUAAAGGUCCUUUCCAACCAUAAUGAUUCUAUGACUGUCUUAGGAUAUUCUGACUUCCCUCUCUGCCUUGCAAAAAGUCCAAAUUUAAGAGGAAAAGGGGGUCAAGGCUUGAAAGUUGAUGUUAGUGCUUCUUCAUAAGCAUUUAUCUAGAUGGGAUAUUUAAGCUAAAAGCAAAACCUCUCCUUGUCACUCUAUGCAAUCAGUAUUUGGGGUUGGGAAAGCACAACCACACUGGGUUGAAUUGGAAUUGGAAACUCAAGCAAUGCUGGGAAACUCUUGAGAGUGCUUAUGAUGGAGGGAAAUCUAAAGUGACAAAAGGAUGACUGAAUCUUAUUUUGUUUAUAUAUCCUAUAUAUAUACUGCUGUUCUAUCAACUAAUUGGUGUGCAGACUACUAGCAAUUUCUAACCCAACUUUUAGAAUGAAUCUGAAUAUUAAUUAUGAAGCAUUUCUGGCUGUUUUCCUCAUUACUAAUCCAUUUGCUUGGCUUUUAAAGAUGCAAAAGGAGUGAUGUUAGAAUGAUGAUCUGAGGAGCUAUGUGAUGCGUGAAAAGUACACCGAUGUUGGUACACCGUGGCCUUGAAGAUGCACUGCUCAACAAGAAGAAAUUCAGGAAAAAUAGUUGUUUUGCAUGUGUGGCAAAAGUGCUUUUGAUAUAAAUGAUGUAAUUUUCUAGUCACAGCAGCUGUAGCGAGGAACAUGUGUGUUUGCCCACAUGUGAUCUUCAUUUUCUUUUUGGUUUGGCAUCUCUGCGGGAUGGUUGAGGGGUGAGAAGAUGAAAAGCACCGUUUGCCCACACCGGGGUCUCCCUGCAGUAAUCCUUAGUGGUAUUAUUUAAACAAGAAACCCUGUCAUUAGUCACUGCUUUGCUGAUGGACCUGCUCAGCCCAGAGAUUGCAGUACCAUUUAGAUGAUUGUUUUCUUUAUCUGUGUGCAUGGGCAAGUUCUGGUCAUACGUCUGUGAUGCAAGCGGGGAGUAGAGAUUGUACCAACAAAACCCAAAAGCAAACCGAGCAACCCAACUGUCAUUUCUGACACUCAGCAAGACUUCUCUGAAAAGCAGACAGAAAAAUGCUUAUCCACACAGUUGUACAAGUGCAAAGUUUACUCCCAGCUCUCCUUGAAGUUAACAGAGUUCUCCUCAUUCCACCGAAAGCAGAAUUCCUCUCUCCAGACAGGCGUCAUGCCUGCUCCGGUGGCUUCUAGUCCAGCAGGAGAGCUCUCUAUGCUUCUUCCUUCCAUGGUUCUUUGAUGGGAAACCACUCAGCUGUCGGAGCCUGGUUCAGCACUGGAAUUGUGGAGCACAGCAGCUAGUCCUUUUCCUGCUGAAUGUGGUUCUUUGUGUGUGUGUGUGUGUGUGUUCAUGUUGUGCAGUGUGUGGUACCAGAAGCAAUUUCAGGCUUUCUUAACUCAGUGAAUUUGUAAGUCAUGGAUGCUUCGUAACAACCAGGAGUUGUCCUACUUAGUGUACUUUGGGGGGACAGUUUUUAAACUGCUGUUUUCUUGAAUGGGGGAGGGGAGGGGGAGGGGGGAGAAAGAAAUAAAAUAAAAAAGCUGUUUCAUUUCUGACCCAAGUUUGUGAUGCUGCCAUUCCACCACAGAUAGGCAAAGCAAGUAGCAGGAGCUGCUGAGAAGCGAGGAGGCUCAGCUUCUGUGUCUGUGUUUGCAGUAGAGUUACAAAUCAGUUUGCUAGCAAGUCACACAUUCCAUGGGAGCUUAGGAUGUUUUACAGCUGGUCAGAGACUUGUUCCAACACUGUUGGCUUCUCUCAAACUUCAUCUAGGCUUUGAAGAACUCUCAACACUCUUCUUCUCCUCGUGCUAAGGUAAUAUAUUUUGAAGGCACAGGUGGGUGUUCUCCUUCUAACAGUUGCAAAGCUCUACGUUUGGAACGCUGUCGCCAAGCAGCAGUGGGAUAAAAUCCACGUGUUUCGAAGAGUGAUUUUUGGCACAGCUGAGGAGCUGAAUCUUGUAAAACUCAAGGUUUGUGUUCGUGUGGGUGCACGCUGCAGAGAUUCUCUGCCUAUUGAGCUUCAGGUCUCGCUGCAAGACCCCAUGCAACAAGAAUUCAGCAAAAUAAAAGUAAUGGAUUAAAACCCACCUUUUUUUUCCCAAGAUUCUGAGUAAUUUGGCACAGCUCAAGUGUUGGAUGUUUAAAUAUAUGAGGUUCUGGUGCAUGUUACAGAUCUCUGCCUCUUGAGCUCCAGGCCUCACUGCAGACACCAAGAAUUCAGCAAAAUGAACAUGGGAGUCUCUGCAAUAUUUGCUCUCAUCAUCAGUUCUCUUGCUAGGGCUGCAGCGUUGAAACACUUGAAGCAACCUGUGGGUCCAGCCCUCACUGACAUCAGUGGAAGUGGCCACAGCGAAGAGGGUUCUUCAGGUGAUAAAACACUGAAGCAGCACCUACGUGUUACACCUAUUGUCACAGCUCAAGGUUUGCCAAGUGGGAGCAUUUGUGUUUAAGCUCCUUUGUGUGAGUCUUUUGAGACAGGUUCUCCUAAAGAUGGGAGGUGAACAACUCAGUGUAAGAACUGACCUGAUGGAAGCCCCACGCAGAGCUCCCUAAUUUUGAUUCCCUCUGGCAAAUUGAAGGUCGAGCAGUUAAGGAAUAAAAACUCAAACCACCUGGAAUUCUGUUGAGGUCUUCUGCCUUACAAAAAACCAUGAUGUAGAAUAGUUUUGUGUUCGCUUCUGUAAAGCAAGCCACAGUAGAACCUGUUUGUGUCACCUUGGGAUGAGGCUGAGCUGUUCCUAGGCACUACUGAAACCUCCUGAGCAGCUCGGUGGCCAUGGCCAGGCUGCCCCAGAGCUAGAACACCACUCUGCUGUUGAGUUCUGCCUUGGAUUUCUGGUGGCUACGAACUUUUGGGUUCUGCCUUGGAUUUCUGGUGGGUACAAACUUAAAAAGGUGUUCAAAAAGUCAUUGCUAGGCCCAGCCCUUUCCUGCCAGUAAUUUAAAACCAAAGUUGUUCGAUAGCUGUAAGCUUCCAUCCAUGUUGCUAUCUCUGUGUAUAUAUCAGUAUAUAGCCAUUUGGAAUAUCUAGAGAGAGCUAUAGUCUUUACUCCAGAAAAUGUUUUUAUUUAUGAACCACUUUUGUAAAUAUUGUGCUAAUAUACUGGGAAAAAAUAAAGUCAUUUUAAGUUGUU
This is an RNA transcript of Pogoniulus pusillus (Red-fronted tinkerbird), 5161 nucleotides long. It is a transcript of the gene named CD47 molecule, with no coding region annotated. The transcript is spliced from 12 exons. The record is from RefSeq and is a predicted model, not a curated record. NCBI's taxonomy places the organism in Eukaryota, Metazoa, Chordata, Aves, Piciformes, Lybiidae.